GACGAACGCUGGCGGCGUGCUUAACACAUGCAAGUCGAACGGAAAGGCCUCUUUCGGGGGGUACUCGAGUGGCGAACGGGUGAGUAACACGUGGGUAACCUGCCCUUGACUUUGGGAUAACCUCAGGAAACUGGGGCUAAUACCGGAUAGGUGCUCCUGCUGCAUGGUGGGGGUUGGAAAGUUUCGGCGGUUGGGGUUGGACUCGCGGCUUAUCAGCUUGUUGGUGGGGUAGUGGCUUACCAAGGCUUUGACGGGUAGCCGGCCUGAGAGGGUGACCGGCCACAUUGGGACUGAGAUACGGCCCAGACUCCUACGGGAGGCAACAGGGGGGAAUAUUGCACAAUGGGUGGAAGCCUGAUGCAGCAACGCCGUGUGCGGGAUGACGGGCUUCGGGUUGUAAACCGCUUUCGCUCAUGACGAAGCUUUGUGUGACGGUAGUGGGUAAAGAAGCACCGGCUAACUACGUG
RNAcentral lists this ribosomal RNA (467 nucleotides) under uncultured bacterium. RNAcentral describes it as "partial 16S ribosomal RNA". It matches the Rfam family "Bacterial small subunit ribosomal RNA", at positions 28 to 507 of the family's 1533-position model. The record is from RNAcentral.